UNGUUAUUUCAGUCCUGCUUUCCCUUUU
Molecule: non-coding RNA, 28 nt
Filed under: Mus musculus (house mouse)
Lineage: Eukaryota; Metazoa; Chordata; Mammalia; Rodentia; Muridae
Source: RNAcentral